GAGUUUGAUCGUGGCUCAGACUGAACGCUGGCGGCAUGCCUAACACAUGCAAGUCGAACGGCAGCGCGGGUAGCAAUACCUGGCGGCGAGUGGCGGACGGGUGAGGAAUACAUCGGAAUCUACCCUGUCGUGGGGGAUAACCAACCGAAAGGUUGGCUAAUACCGCAUACGACCGAGAGGUGAAAGCGGAGGACCGCAAGGCUUCGCGCGAUUGGAUGAGCCGAUGUCGGAUUAGCUAGUUGGCGGGGUAAGAGCCCACCAAGGCGACGAUCCGUAGCUGGUCUGAGAGGAUGAUCAGCCACACUGGGACUGAGACACGGCCCAGACUCCUACGGGAGGCAGCAGUGGGGAAUAUUGGACAAUGGGCGCAAGCCUGAUUCAGCAAUGCCGCGUGUGUGAAGAAGGCC
RNAcentral lists this ribosomal RNA (407 nucleotides) under uncultured Gammaproteobacteria bacterium. RNAcentral describes it as "bacterial SSU rRNA". It matches the Rfam family "Bacterial small subunit ribosomal RNA", at positions 9 to 416 of the family's 1533-position model. Lineage: Bacteria; Pseudomonadati; Pseudomonadota; Gammaproteobacteria. The record is from RNAcentral.